This 492-nucleotide ribosomal RNA is filed under the name uncultured bacterium. RNAcentral's name for it is "partial 16S ribosomal RNA". It matches the Rfam family "Bacterial small subunit ribosomal RNA", at positions 29 to 507 of the family's 1533-position model. The record is from RNAcentral.
AUUGAACGCUGGCGGCAUGCUUUACACAUGCAAGUCGAACGGUAACAGGCCUUCGGGUGCUGACGAGUGGCGAACGGGUGCGUAAUGCAUCGGAACGUGCCCAGAGGUGGGGGAUAACGCAGCGAAAGCUGUGCUAAUACCGCAUGUGAUCUGAGGAUGAAAGCGGGGGACCAGGCAGCAAUGUUUGGCCUCGCGCCUUUGGAGCGGCCGAUGUCAGAUUAGGUAGUUGGUGGGGUAAAGGCCUACCAAGCCGACGAUCUGUAGCUGGUCUGAGAGGACGACCAGCCACACUGGGACUGAGGCACGGCCCAGACUCCUACGGGAGGCAGCAGUGGGGAAUUUUGGACAAUGGGCGCAAGCCUGAUCCAGCAAUGCCGCGUGCGGGAAGAAGGCCUUCGGGUUGUAAACCGCUUUUGUACGGAACGAAAAGGCUCUGGCUAAUACCUGGGGCUGAUGACGGUACCGGAAGAAUAAGCACCGGCUAACUACGUG